GCUGACGUCACGAUCGGCGCCUCCGCCAUCUUAGUUGUGGCUAAGGAGGUGGCGGUUUCGGAAGUGCGGCUUGUGUGCUGCUGUGUCGAUGCUGAGACGAUGUGGGCUUGGCGUGGUGCUGAGCCUGGUCGCGGCGGCAGCGGCGGUCGUGGCCAUGUGGUUGAUGGACUGGUGGGGUCCCCGCCCUGGCCUUCGCCUCUUCGUACCCGAGGAGCUGGCCCGCUAUCGCGGCGGCCCGGGGGACCCGGGUCUGUACUUGGCGUUGCUCGGCCGCGUCUACGACGUGUCCUCUGGCCGGAGGCACUACGAGCCUGGGGCGCACUAUAGCGGCUUCGCAGGCCGGGAUGCAUCUAGAGCAUUUGUGACAGGAGACUUUUCUGAAGCUGGACUCGUGGAUGAUGUAACUGGCUUGUCCUCCUCUGAGAUACUGAUACUUCAAAAUUGGAUUUCAUUCUACGAGAAGAAUUAUGUAUUUGUCGGGAGACUGGUUGGAAGGUUCUACGGAGAGGAUGGGCUGCCCACUCCAGAACUAACCCAGGUGGAGGCCAUGGCGGCCAAAGGCGCGGAGGCGAGUGAACAGCAACAGAGGGAAAAGGGCAGGUUCCCUCCCUGCAAUGCCGAGUGGAGCUCUGCUAAGGGGAGCCGGGUCUGGUGCUCCCGGAAGAGUCAUUCGGGAACACAGCCUGAUCAACAUAGAACUGCCUGGAGAAAGUCUGUGAGCUCCAGCAAGGCACUUCCCACGGACUCACUGCUGCCCUGAUUAGAGCUUGGGCUCUGCCAUCAUGCCAGUCCUGCUGAGACUUGGAGCAGUAGCAGAACAAGACUGUGGCUCUCAGCAGAGAAGCAGGCAUUUCCCAAGAAGCCUCGAAUCUUGCAGAAUCAAGAGUUGAACAGCUUUAUGGACCAGAUUUUAAUCUGCAGGCCCCUAGACCUUCCUUGACAUUCUCUGAAGCCCACAGUGCCAGCCCCCAUCCCUUUUCUUCAUAUUGGCCAGUGACUCCAAAGAAACAAUGCUGCUAAGCGCCAUGGUCCCAGAUGAUGCUGUCAUUCCCACACUGAGCACCACCAGAGUGGUUGGAAGCCAAAGUGAUCUAUCCAAACAUGUGCCUGCAGUUUUAAAGGCCCAGCUGCUGCCUUGUCCUUGGUCCUACAAGGAUGUCACAGAACACCCAGCUCCACACGGCUCCCAAACAGGCAAGUCAGUAAGUCCAGCCAUCCCCAGAUUCCCUUGCUAUAGAAAACCAGUGCUGUCAGUUGUAACAGUUAAUAUAUUUAUGCCACACGAAAGAGGAACUGUAUAGGCAGUGAUCCUCCAGAGAAAGGUUUUAAGGCAUCUUUGACCUUGGGAAUUUAACUAUUUAGUUAACCAGUCACACACUCAGGUUUUCAUUAGAUCAGUUCUGUAGUGAGCAUGGCUCAGAGGCCUUUGCUGAGCUGCUUCCUCUGUUGGGCUGGCAAGGGAACUCUUUGGCUUCAGGUGGCUCUAGGGGGCUGGACCUGAAGGAAGCCAGUGUUUGUGAGGGAGGCAUACAUGUACUUGUACAUGAUGCUAUUGCUGCCUCUCAGGCCGAAGUAUUUGGCAGUUCAGCCAAGUUCUUUUCUCCAGGUAAGGAAAUCCUAGAUGGAGGCUUUGCCCUCCACCCCUUGUCUGCGAACAAGCCUAGGGCUGGAACAGUUGAGUAUGGGGGGCAGGCACAACUUGGGAAGGGCAGUGAGACCACACACCCAGUUCCUUGAAAGACCCAUUCAAGGAAAAGGAGGAAGCUGACAGAAACAACUCAGGGCUCUGAGGUAGAGGAUAAAAACAUCAUGUGGACCCCACUCCUUGGAGAGAAUAUGGCAGGUGAACUGAGCAGUCUAAUAUUCAGCCUUGACUGAAUUGGUUUUGGGGUGGAAUAGGCCCAGAACUAGUGUUGUAACACAUCACUGAGUGAGACACCAGUGAAAGACAACUGGAAACAAGGGAGUCCUCAGUGUAGGCACUUAAGCUGGUGGGACAUCGCUGUUAGAGGAUCAUAGCAAACUAGUUUCAGCACAUGGUUUGUACCUGUCUUUAAAAAAACAAAAAGCCCUAAUGAUGCAGUACACAGUAAGACUAGAGAUGCAUAAGAGCAGUUAAACAGCUAGGCAAGCACAGCAGUGCUAACUGAUGCAGCAGUUGUGUUUCAGUGACGUUGAUUCUUCCUGCUCUGCUCAUUCACAACUGGCAACCUUUUGAAUUAAUAAAAUGAAGUUUUGCUGCAAGCUGUCAAGGUACUGAUUAAGACUGAACAAGAACAGCUAAGCAGUUUCAUGGUGAAGUCUGGUCAGCACAGAGAGCACAGGAGAGACACAGGAAGUCUGGUCCUGGCCAGGGCAGUGCACAGCAGAAGUGUAGGGCAGGGAGCAUGGAUGGCAUGGUCAGGCUGUGCAAGGAUGCCUGAGCCAUGUCUACAGCAUGGGUACCAAAGUCACACAGCCUCUUUCCGCCAUAGCUGGUCACUAUGUUGACCUCUGAAGGAAUAGAAGCUUGAACCCACAUAUUUUGGGGCAUGAUCUUCAGGUUUUAAGUACAGUUAUAGGCAAAACUGUUACUGAAACUGGUAUUGUAGGGCUAGGAAAAAAUGGUCGGCUUCAUCCUGAUUUCCUAUUUUCCCCUCUCCACUGUGAUCAUAAAAAAACAAGUUUAUGUGUACCAACCACCUUGGUUCAUAGCAGAACCAUAAUUACCUUCCUCAUUAAAAAAAAA
Peromyscus leucopus (white-footed mouse) is the source of this 2728-nucleotide RNA transcript. It is a transcript of the gene named neuferricin, with no coding region annotated. The transcript is spliced from 6 exons. The record is from RefSeq and is a predicted model, not a curated record. NCBI's taxonomy places the organism in Eukaryota, Metazoa, Chordata, Mammalia, Rodentia, Cricetidae.